Long non-coding RNA from Chelonus insularis, 271 nucleotides. RefSeq lists it as uncharacterized. The record is from RefSeq and is a predicted model, not a curated record. Lineage: Eukaryota; Metazoa; Arthropoda; Insecta; Hymenoptera; Braconidae. The transcript has 2 exons.
UUAGACUGCGCGUAAAAAUAGCAACUGAGUAUUACAUUUACCGAUUAUAAAUGUUGAUUUUUAAUCAUUUAAACUUGUUUUGUUAAUUAUCAAGAAUGUCCACCAAAUCAAUAACAGAAGUACAAAUAGAAACUGCUGAAACUUUAGAAAAUAUUGCAAUCAUGUCCGAAAAAAUCAAACAAGAAUUCAGAAUAAUAAAAGAAAUAAUAAAGGAGGAUGGGCCUUUGAACAAUUCAAUAAAUAAUUGCAACCUGACUUUCUGUCACAUUCU